CCGCACCACGGCUCCAAGCUGUGCAUUAGCGGUCUGGAGUGGCCCAUGGACCCUGAUCACAGAAGGCCAUUUUUCGGAAUGUUGCCCCCAUCAGUGGGCUCCCUGCGUGCAAGCACUUUGCAGUGUGACUUUGCACCCCCUCCCCAUCGGCAGGUGGGAGUCUGUGAAUCUGGGCUGGUCUUGAGACUUGCUCUGAUCAAUACCAAGUGGUGAAAGAUAGGGCUGCGUGCCACGUUUGAGCCCAAGCCUCGGGGGGCUUGCACACUUCCGUUGUCCCUCUCAGAUCCCUGUCUUCAACGACGAGGGCCAGCCCGGACUAGCCGCCGGAGCAUGCGAGGCAAGCAGCCCAGGCACCCCAUCACCCCACCUGACAGCCAGCCGACCCUGAGCAGCACGGCCACCCAGCCGAUCUGCGGAAACACGAGAAUCCGGGGAAAAACCAGGAGAGCCGCCCAGCAGAGCCCAGCCUAAGCCGCUCGCUAACCUGUGGACUUGUGAGUUUAAGGAAGGGCUGUUGACCUUAACAACUGAGUUCGCGGCUGUGUGUUGGGCAGUAGGGACUGGUAUCGCUGUGACUCAGCAGGCAGAUGUGGGGUCCAUCAUCAGUGGUGUUGAUCAUGUCCUGUCUUCCCCUUUGGCCGGGAGACAGGGAACACCACCAGCCUGGCCCCUUGUCGCUUUGUGGGGCUGCACAAACAGUUCUAACCAGUUGCUUCUGAGACAAGGCAGCACACCCUGACAACUGGAGGCAUUGUUAGUCCCAACCUUGUGGCCACUGAGGGCCACCUCAAGAUCAAGACCAAGAUGCUCAGCUCUGGAUGAGCUCGGCCUCGCUCUCUGGCCCACAUGAAGGUUGACUGAAUCCACCUGUGCAGGGGAACACGUGUGGGUCCCUGGGCCGGCGCUGAUGUGCUCUACCCCGAAGCUGGGUUUGGUUUCCAGACGAUGUCUAGAGCGCUCGUCUUGCUCUGGAAGUGGAAUGUGCUGGAUACGAUGCCUGUGCCCUGUCGCACUGGGGGGCCGUACGUGAAGCGCGGUGCCCGCGUCUGCAUUCAAAAGGGUUAGAAGCGGAGGCCGGAUGCCUUCUAAAGGCUUCUACAGGGAAGGGCAGCCGGUGGGGCAGAUUCAGUGGAACCAGCCAGUGGAGGAGCUGGCCUCCUCCCCGCGGGGUCUGACGGCAGUGACUCCAAGAGCAGAUAUCACUGUCACCACGGCUUGAGAGACCCACACUGUGCCCCAACGUGGGACAUGGCACAUCCGGCUGACUUGAAAUGACCCCUGGGAGCACGGGCGUGGGGAGAGGGGUGUGGAGGGCACCCGGCACUGGGUGGUCACACCAUUCCAUCACACUUGCCCCCCUCCGGCCCCUUCCCGACCCCAAAUCUCUCCUGGGCUAGGGUAAAAAUUCCUUAAUGCCCCUCUCAGACAGGGGCUGCUCUCCUGCCUCAUCCCCACACCCCCCUGCUGCCCGCAGUGAACACCUACCCCUUCUCCAUCGGACAAACUUCUCUGUGACCAGGCAGGUGUAGGGCACAUGUGAUAUGUCCUUCCCUGAGAGUCACUACCUCAAUGGCUUUCAAACAACGAUUUUGGAAAUCUGUUUGACUUGACAGACUGACUUGAUAGCUUGGUUUAGAAGAAGGGCAAUAUUCAUUCAUUCAUUCAUUCAUUCGUCGGGUGAAUAGUAAUUGAGCAGCACCUGCUUUGUGGUGGGUGGUGGGUUACGGGCAGGGUGGGGCGGGGGAGCUCUCAAAGAAACAGGUUGUCGACCAUCUCUGAAGUUUGGGGACACCUGGGGACACAGCCCGAUGCAGUGGCAGGGUCUGGGGCUCUCUGUCCCCCGUUUUGGGACAGAGCCAGAUGCCAGGGUGAAGGCAGUGGGCACCCAGCUGCUGUUGGUGCGGCACCCCUCCCGAGCCUUUCCCUGCAUUUGGUGGUGGCUCGGGGCUCAGGGUGCUCCCAGCCCGCUUUGCUCCUCUCCCCUCCUAGUGGCCGCGUGUCACCGCCUGGCAGAGACCCUUCGCGAGGACCCCGGAUGCUGAGCUCCAGAAUCCAUUUGAAUCGCCAUGAUGCGUCACCUCUGGUGGGUCCCACGGAUUGGAUGCCGAUUGGCUAUGCCCGUAGGUGAGCUUGUUGGAGCCUUUCUUCUGCCUCGCAGCUACACCAAAGGCAGACUGGCCUGGAGGGCAGGUGAGGAAGCGGUCUGGAGACCCGCAACAGGACACGGUUCCCCAGGUGGCCCAAGGACCCCCAGCCACCCUCCUGCGUGACGAGCUGCCACUUGGGGUUUGUAGGAUUCUCUUGCACUGGGUCACAGAGCCCUUGAGGGCAGGGGCCUUAGGCCGUUUACCUCAUCACUGUUUGUCAGCACAGGGCACAGAGCACAGCCUGUGCAGAAGUUUGACAAAUGAAGGAGUGAGUGAUUUCUGGAAACACAAAGCUAACCUCUGCAGGGGAGACAUCUGCCAGGUUUCCCAGCUUCCCGUAAAGUGAGCGUGCUGCCAGGGCGUUUCUUGGCCUCUGCUCCCGGGGCCUCACUAAGUGCUCACCACCCUCCCUAGAGCCUCCUGAUAGAAGCUUCCAUCCAAGAGGAGAGCAGGUGCAGUGGCCUGGGGGUCAGAGGCCGGCUGGCCAGUGCUGGCUCUGCUCUCACCAGCCCGUGGGUCGGGCCAUGGGGUCCCUGGAGGCAGAUGAGCGGCUCCCGUUGGUGGCUCAAGGCACCAAAGCCCCUCAGCUGCGACGCCCGGGCUGGACCUCUUCCCCAGAGCUGGGCAACGCCCAGGGGCUCGGCCCACAUUGUGGUCCGCUGGUCUACCUUUCCGGGCGGCACCUGCAGAAGGUCCCCAGCAUUGACUUAUUGCUCUGGGUUCAUCCCUUCCCUUCUCUUCCGUUGUGUGAAGUCCAUUAUCAGAUUCAGGGAAGCCAACCCGCGAGAACUGAGGCUGGUUUCCAGAGCUCAUUCCUUCCUAUGCCAGGCGGCCUGUUCUCACAGAGGAAAGUGAAAGGGGGUGGCCCCCUGGGGUAGUGGGGGCUGCGCAGUGCUUCUAAGCCUGGGAGAACCCCUUUCCCUGGGGACCUCUGGCCUCGUCUGGAGACGUCCUUGGUUGUCACGACUGCUAGGGGGUGGGGAGGGGCGGAGGUACAGGCAUCUGCUGAGCGGGGGCCAGGGAUGCUGCUAAACUUUGUGCGGUGCACAGGAUGGCCCCACUGUGGAGACGAUCCAGCCGAGCAGUAGCACCAAGGCCGAGACCUGCUGUGGCUCGUCUGGCCACGCGGUGUGCUCCGUGGCAGCUGUCAGACCCCGUGAGGGUGCUUUUAUUACUGUCACCUGGAGAGAGCACGUUGGACAGGCAGCGGGCGCCCCCGUCCCGGCCUCCGGUGGCUGUGCAGCGGCGGUGGGACCUUGCAGGCGGGCUGGGAGUUAGAAUGCCAUCGUCCACACUCUGCCAGGAGGUCCAGCUCAGACGCCGGAGGUAAUGGAAAUCUUUGCAAAAGUCCAAAGUGCUUUACAAGCACCAAGUAGGUUUUUUUUUUUUUUUUUCGGGUGGUUUUUAUCAACUCCUGCCCAAGGCCGUGCAAAAGGAUGGCAUCUAAGGGAUCUCCGGCCUGGAACCCAACCCUUCCCCAUCAAAGCAGUUCCCAGCAGAGACAAUGCCAUUUGCGUGAACGCAUUUCUGACAGAGGCCGCACGUGUGGCUUGCAAGCUGUAAGCGUCCGGCCGCGAUUCAUGAGUGGCUUUGAUCACUGGGACCCCGAAGUGCUUCCCGCUUGGCUGCGGCACUGCCCGGCCAUCGUUUCCCCGCGGAAGGUCCACCGUCUGUACGUCAAUCAUGACCCCCCUCUGCUCACUUUGAAAAGUUUCCUUUAUCUCGCUAGAAGCCUCUGGUUUCCUGGGAGCGGUCCACCUCUGAGAUGCUCUGCUGUUUUCGAGAUUGUUUGUUGUGUGUGUGUGUCCCUGGGAAGCUCGGUUCCAGGAGGAGGAGGUCAGAGGAUUGGGGGGGAUUUGACCGCUUUGCGGAUGGCCGUGGGAGCUGUCUGAGGUGCAGCAUCCGGGGGCCUGGGGGCCUGGCACCAGAGCUCAGUGCUCAGUGGCUGGUGCCGGUUUGGGGAGGGCACGCAGGCGGGUGGGAGGAGCCCAGGCUGGCGUUCUGCAGGCAGGAUCUGAUGGGCACACGAGGGAGCUGAGUUUGGCUGGGAAAGAAGUUGAGGGUCCGCUGGACAUAGGCUGGUUGAGCCGGGAACGGAGACAGAGACCGACGGGAGGCAAGGGAGGGAGCGGGUCCAGGAGCCCUACAGGGCUGAGGGGUAGCGGGACCUGGAGAGAAGGGCAGGAGAGGAGGGGAGAGCAGAGGGGAGGUUUGUCACCACCAAGAGGAUCCAGCCCAGCCCAAGUCUGGAUGAGGCCCCUGGACGGGUGACUGGGAGAGGGGGUUACCAGGCUGGGGGUCCUGGGGUUGAGACUGUGAUGUCCCCCUCUCUGCUCCCCAGGAGACCAGGGAUCAAAGGUGGGUCUGGGAGCUUUAAACACCUGAGGGGGGGUCUCGGUUUAGGGGAGCUGACAACUAAGUCCCCGGGGAGAGUGUGAGUAUGCAGCUGAGAGGCGGGGUGCACCCUGGCUGGGGGACAGUCUACUCUUUGCACACAGCCGAGGAUGCCACUGUGGACAGGGCUCGCUGUGGCAAACUGGGGGCAUGGUGCCUGUCACAACAGAGGCUCCAGCCUGAUGCCCAGAGGCGUGACAGGCACCGUGGCGAUAGGUGAGCCAGGUGACCCCAGAGGAAGCUGCCAGCUCAGGCCUGGCCAGAUGCGUGCUGUGACCGCCGUGUGCCCCGCGUGGAAAGGCGGCCAGAGUGAUAGCCUUGCUGCUGACUUACAGGCAAUCUGGCUCAGCCCCCUCUCCCACCUCUGCCCUCCGCCUCCCAGCUCAUCUGGGACCCCCAGCUCAUGCCUUAGGGCGUGAAGGCCACGCUUUGGGCCGUGUGCAGCAGACCGCAUCCAGACGGUGACGGGAAACAGGCUGGCACUGCGCGGACGUCGGCCAGAGGCCACACAAAGGACUGAUUGCAGGCUCAGCCCAAAGGCAGCUGUCCACAAGCCAGGGAGAGAGGCUUACAGUCACCAGCCCCGAUGGCACCUCGGUCCACCUUGCAGGCUCCAGAACUCCGAGAGGGCAAAUGUCUGGGCAUGAGCACCCUGGCCAAUGGCAGUCCCAGCUGAGACUGUGAAAGUCCACCCACAGCUUACAUUGUCCCCUGUCCUGCAGCCAAGGGACCUCGGACUGGUUUUGUUUGUUUGGGGCUUUCUUGGCAGCUUCCAUAGAAGCAAGGUGCUCCUUUCCUGGGAUGCUCCGGCUUGACAGCUGUCCGAGGCGGCCCCCAGGGUGGGGACGAGCCAGGCAAGGUAGCUGUGAGCCCAGACGCCCUGCAUACGCCCUGCUGAGCAGUUCAGUUCCUCCGGUGUCCGCCUGCGGGAAGAUGUUGGUUUUCGCUGCACCUGCCAUCUGGACUCUUUGCCGUCCAGAAAACCGUGUGUUGGCAACGGAAAGCGUGAGGACGCACGGUCCCUCGGAGUCCGCGGUGUGCUCCGGGGGAGGGGGGCCUUGUUCUCUCCAUGCAGUUCCACUUAACAAAUACUUAUGGGUGCCUGUCAGGUGCCCAGGUCUUACUCCAGAUGCUGGAGAGAAGCAGGUAAACCAGUCAGAGAACAUCUGUGCCCACGUAGCUUCUGUUUCAGUCGGGAGAGGGUGCAGAAAAUGAACACCUACAAAAAUACCUAGCGGUGAUACAUAUUCCGAAGAAGACAAAAUGGGGUGUUGUGAUGGUAGGGGUGGAAGAGGUCAGGGAGGCCUCUCAGAAGAGGGAGGCAGGAGCUGAGAUCAGAACGUCAAGAUUGAAGCAGCCAGGUGAGGAUCCGGAGAGGGCACGGCAGGCAGAGGGAGAGCAGUGCCAAGGUCCUGGGGUAGGAAUGAGCUUGGUGUGUCGGAGGAACCUGGGGGGGGGAGUGAGGGAAGGGGGGGAACAUUAGGUCAAGUGGGAGCCAGGGGCCCCCGUGGGUUGGCUGAGGAGUUUGGAGGCUCAGGACAGCAGGAAGCCUCAGGCUCAGGCAGGACGGGCUGAUGACAUUUUCAGAGGCUCCCUGGGGCUGCUAUGAGGGGUGAGCUCAGAGGGCAAAAACGGAAGUCCCAAGCCCGUCCUUCUCCUCAGCCUCUGCUCCCUGUCUGCUCCAGGCUGCAGCAUCUCACUGGGCUUCUCUCCCUCACCCUUUCUGCAGCCUCCUACCUGGUCUCCCUGCUUCCACUCUUGCCUCUCUAGGGACUGGCUCUAACGGGGCAGCCAGGUGCCCCCAUUCACUCCUCAGCUCGAACCCCCCGGAGGCUUCCGCCUCACCUGCAGAAAAGCCAGAGUCCCCACGGGGGCCUGCGGGACCACAUGAUCUCUUCUCCCCACUCCCUGCCCCCUCCCCUCCCCAACCAUCUCCCGAGGUCACCACCCAGACGUCCUUCAGGCCUCUUCCCCGCACCCAGCUCUUUCCACCCUCCCUUUCCUCCUGGCCCUUGUAGCCAUAGCUCCCGUGGCUGGUGUCUCUACUCCCGGGUUAGGGCACAGGUCAGGGGCUUCUGUUUGGUGCCCUGCCACCUCCCAGUAUGUAGACCAGCCCUCAGCCCCCAGUGAGGGCUCAGUCAGUACCUGUGUGCUGUUGUCAAAGUCCUGACUUGGAAGGCAAAGGGGGGCUAGUUCCAAGGAGGUCCUUGUGCACGGGGAAGGAUCCGGAUGGACUUGAAGACAGCCCACAGGGCUUGCUGUGCUCUCGGGGGUGAGUGUCGCCAAGGGGCCAACAUUCUUGCAGGGCUUUGCUUGAGCCGCUGAGGCCAUGGUGCAUGGAGGCACGGUGUGCACGUAAGGGAGAUGGGGAGGGAGCCCAUGGGGCAGGCAGGGGUCCAGGGUUCUGCCCGGCCCGGAGAGGUUUGAAACCUCACUAUCCGCACCAAGUUGCUGUGGAAGGAGGAAGCUGGUUGAAACUCUGAAGCUCAGGAGGGCCAUUAAGGCCAGAGGUAACAGCUGCAGGUCAGUGGCCCAGAUGUGUUAUUUGGUUAAGGCCCAGUGAGAUCCCAAGGCAAGAUCAGGGAUGCCAAGGUCAAGCCAGGGAGGGCAGGUCCACACAUGUGCCUGGGGCACGUCAGCAUUUCAGGCAAACGAAAAGGUCCUCACCGGUUACGCCCGUCUUUGUCCUCUGCUCUGGGGCCUGCCUUUUCAGGAAAGCUACCCGGGUCCACUCCGCAGCAUGUGUCCUGGGAAUGACUGUGAGAUAAAGUGGGGAACAGUGUGUGAGGUGGGGGGGGGGCUCCAGCCCCCUGGGGACAGGAUGAGUGAAUGUCAUUGCCCACACUGCACUGGGUCAAGGACCCCAGCGACACAUGCCCUGGUCAUACUGUCCUCUCUCACACCCGGCCAGGGGUGGCUGGACUUCAAAGUCACCUUCCGACGACUGCAUUAACAAACUGGGAUGUGUGUCCUGGGGCUUCGAGGCCGUUCGUCGCUCCUGGGUCUCUUCAGUGAGAUCUCCCUGUUCUGAAACACGCCAAAGACUUCCUCUGUCCCACAAGUCCUGCACAGUGCCAGCCGUGGACUCCCCAAAGGUGAGGCCAGGAGGGCUGCCAGCCGGUUUCCUAGAAAACGUUAAAUCAGCCCCCUCCUCCCUCCAAAUCCCACUCGUUCACUUUUCUUCUGGUGGACUGGUAUUUUCGCCGUGAUUCCGUCCCAGGCCUUCUGACCUAAUUCCAAUUUACUUGUUGGAGUUUCUUAUUUCCUCUCGACACUGACUCUGACACGCAAGGCUGUUUUAUCACUGGGUGGUUUUAAUUUUCAUACAGAGACUUGUGGUUUCCCAUUUUCUGUGUUUCCUUUGAGUUUCAGCCAACAGGAGCAUAACGCCUAUGAAAGGCACACGGAUUCCAUGGGCUGUUUGUUGAAUUAUUCAAAGUGCUCCUUUAUUAUUCCCUUUGUGUCAGUCUAUGUGGCUUCUUACCAGAGGCGUGACUUACAUGGUAGGCUACUGUGUGUCCAGUAUGGAUGAUCUUGAGGGGACAAGCAAGGGAAUGCAGCUUUGCCCCAGGAGAAGGUUACUAUCAGCACAGCCAGAGAACAUUCACAGGAUCCAAGAUGGCAGAUGCAAACCCCCUGGCCCAGUAGGUCAGUGGGAUGCUGUGAAGGACGACUCUUAGCCAGAGCAGAAGUAGAAGCAAGCUCAUGGGAUGGGAAAUUCUUGGUAUUGUUGGAUUUUGGAUUGGUUCAUUCAUAUAGACAAUAAAUAUGUGCUAGACACGUA
This is a long non-coding RNA of Acinonyx jubatus (cheetah), 8325 nucleotides long. RefSeq lists it as uncharacterized. The record is from RefSeq and is a predicted model, not a curated record. The transcript is spliced from 4 exons. NCBI's taxonomy places the organism in Eukaryota, Metazoa, Chordata, Mammalia, Carnivora, Felidae.